This 3443-nucleotide ribosomal RNA is filed under the name Nadsonia fulvescens var. elongata DSM 6958. RNAcentral's name for it is "eukaryotic LSU rRNA". The stretch from base 2576 to 3182 matches the Rfam family "Eukaryotic large subunit ribosomal RNA", at positions 2392 to 3002 of the family's 3401-position model. The record is from RNAcentral. Lineage: Eukaryota; Fungi; Ascomycota; Dipodascomycetes; Dipodascales.
AGAUUAUCAUGCAGGGGAAAGCUAAUGCGUAUGUAAUUCGUAUAAAUAUUUUAUGUCAACCUUUUGGCUUCUCAACAUCUGAAGAACCGGGAAAUUUUCCUUACACUAUUUUCGGUUCCAUUUUAAAGAAAUAAUACCAAUUUUCGGUUUAUUCCACUUUUUUAUUUGUUAAUAUGAAAUUAUUGAUGGUUUUGCUCGCUUUCUUUUUCAAAGGUGCUGUAUCAUUAUUGAUACGUUUCCUUUACUCCUCUUCUCAAAGAGAUUUUCAUACAGAAGUCAAUACCAAAACAACAGUAUAUAUUCAAAUAUUCUAAUUGCAAGUUCCGGAUUUCCAUUUAUGACUUUUUGUACAAGAGGCCCUAAAAAUUCUUUAAUCCAGAAACCUGUUUUUCUUAAGGUAUCUUUUAACAAAACUCAGUUUCUCCAAUCAAUAUACAAGAACUUAUACCUUGGCAUGGUCGAUCUUUAUUUUGAUCACAUACGAAACCUUUUUCAAAGAUUGUUUUCUGCUUUUGGAAAGUAAGCUAAUAUUGCGAAAUUAUUCAAAAAAACAUUAAAUUUAUUACCGUGUCUUAAUUGAGAUACUACCUAUUUGUUUUCGUCUCAAUCCUUUAGUACUUCUAUUUGCGGCGUGAUAACCUAAAUUAAGGCGCAAUAAAAAGCUAUUUCGUUAAUUCUGUCCACCAGUUAUUUCCGAUUUAGUAUUUGUUUACUAAAUUGUUGUAGACAAAAAGUCCAAGAAUAAAUCAUUCUGCUAAGCUGACCAUUAUUGGGGAUACCGAGUUGAGUAUCUGUAACCCUAUACAUGUCCACAAUCUAUGGAGAUAUUCAAUUCCGGCUUAUUAAAAAUAAUAAUUGAUUUUAAUAAGCAGGAGCUUAUAUAUUGUAAUCUUUGCUCUUAUAUUCAUCUGAAAAAGUUUAUACCCUUCAAUACAAAAAAUCAAAGCCUCGGCUCUUAUAUAUACUAACAUAAUAGAAUAUUACGCUUUCCUUAAUUAAUAAGUUGAUUGAAAAAACACAAAGCAUGAACGCCGUUUUUUGCCCAAGUUGAGACCAUAUUAUGUGAUUUAGAUAUCAUUCAUACACACUUAGAGAAUAUAUAUAUAUAUAUGUUCAGUUAAUUUUUCGUCAACCCUUGGAAUGCCAAAAUUAUCAUCUUUACAUUUAAAAAAUCUCAAUACAAAAAUACAUUCAUAACUUUUCUCAUCGCUUUGAGGGGUUAUUUUAUAGCAUCUCUAAUUAUUAUAUAAUAAUUGAAUGGCCUCUUUUCUCCUAUUUAAUUUUUAUUUUUAUCAUAAAGUACCUACUAUAACCAGCGACAUAAAGAAGCGGUAUAAUAAGAUGGAUUUUGCCCCUAAUAAAUAGCAUCAUCUGAUUCAUAUUAUUGAAAAGUAUAACCAAACACACUGACUUUUUCUCAGAAAACAAAAUAUGUGAUACAUUCUCUAGUGCAAAAGCAACCAUCAGUUUAAUACUGGUGUCUUCCGCCGCAUCCACUGGAAAGCAUGAUUUCCCGUCAAAUCAAACCAUCUUAAUAUAGUUAGCCCGGAAAUUCUUUCUUCGACAAUAACCAAGCUAACAACAAAACUCAUUUGUAUCGUCAUUUUAAUAAAAAUUGAACAAUAACGAUUAUUUCUUUUCAGUUUAUGCUACAAAGCUUAUUUUUCGGGAAACUAACCGAAAUAUUUUCAUUAGUUACCAGAGAAUAUCAACAACAAGAUUUAUCGUUAGCGGAUUAACAAAAUUUAUAAAUAAGCAAAACUCUAUAAAUUUUGAAAGCUUUGUUAUUUAGACUUAUAGCUUGUUUAAAAUUUGAAGCUUUGGUAUUAGAAUAUUUUACCUUUACUUCUUCUCAAUUAAUCUGCAAGUUAAAGAGUAGUUGAACAAAUUGACAAAGACUUAUACUGGCAAAAUCAUCCUAUUAUUUUUUUUAAUACUCAGAAAAAUAGCAACCCUUGUGAAAUAAAGAGUACGGAUAUGUUUUACAAAGACUUUCUUUAGUGUGCUACUUAAUUUUGCUCGCAGGACAUGAUUACUCAUUGGUUUUCAGUAUGCCUUUAUUUCAUGUAGAACCGGCCUAUCUUCGUGCUUUUUUAUUCGACUUUCAUAGUUUAAAUAGCUCGUUUGUCAAAGUGAUCUUUUACACGAAUUCAUAGCUUAGAGGGAAAAAAUAUAUAUAUCUGGAAUCAGGUCACAUAUCAAGGGGUGACGAAAUUUCAAUGCUUCAGCCAACGCUAACUGUCUAAGGUUUGUUAUUACUGGGUACUGCCCUUACGCGCUAUUGACAACGAAAAUUUAUGCUCGCAAGUGUUUUGGAUCCAGUACGCUCUUACGCUAAUAAUUUCAACAAUAUAUCAUGUUAUAAAUAUGCCAUACAAAGAGCAUGUACAUCAAAAAAAAAACGAGGCGAUAGCCGAUUGUGUUUCCACAUGUUUUCCUACCGUAAUACUUACAAAGGCUCUUACUGAUUUAACUCGGUUUGAUCUGACGGUAAACUAAGCUUUUCAGUGGGCAUAGCUGCAGAAACAAUUGGUUUUUGAUAGCGAAAUCUCUUCCAAUGGAGUAGGCUUGGUAAAAUCAGCGAUAGAAAAGAUGCCUCAUAGAGCUUAACCUUAGUUUGGCAAUGUGAAAAAAUAGAGGAUGUAGAGUAAGUAGAAGUUUGGGACCGGUGAAGUACAACUACCCUUAUUGUUCUUUUUACUUAUUCAAUGUGGGGGAGAUAGAUCAAAAAUAUCUUUCAAGUACAAAAAACAAAUCUUUUAUUGGCUGAUCCAAAAAGAGAACGUUUUCGGGUGUGAAUUUUGGUAGACGCGUUACACCUGGUAAAAGGUAACGCAAACGCCUUAAGAGGGAAUCAUGGAGAAGAAAGAAAAAAACUGAAGUAUAACAGGGUGAGAAAAUUACUCUUGCUUUCAGUUUUCAUUGUCAUAAUAAACCAUGCCGGUAUGACAAGUCGACCUUUUGUUUCUUCGUUUUUGAAGCUAAAGUCUCAUUAAAGUUACCGCAGAGAUAACUAAACUGAGGCAGUCAAGCUUUCAUGGUUAUUUUACCUUUUAUCCUUUUAAUGUCGGUUCUUCCAAUCAAGGCGAAGCAGGAUUUGGUAAGUGUAGGAUUUUUCGCCUAAUACUUGGGAACUUGAACUGGGUUUAGAUCUUUGUGAGAGAAGUUUUAUACUACUGAUGAGUUCCAUUACUUUUGUGAUGGAACUUACAAUACGUGAGGAGCCAUUCAACUAUAUAUUUGAGAAACUAGCGAUGUUAAGAAAGUAAGCAAAGUGAAAUAUAGUUCUGGGGUAGAACUGGUCUUAAAAAACACAGCGCUUUAGAAGAUAGUGGUACAAAAAAGUUCCUUAGUCCGCUUCCCAGGAAAUUGACUGUGAAAAAAGUAUCUCAUCAACUUUAAAGCGUUUCAUCCACUAAUACUCGAUAAUUGAUAUACCAAGC